RNAcentral lists this long non-coding RNA (2183 nucleotides) under Marmota monax (woodchuck). Lineage: Eukaryota; Metazoa; Chordata; Mammalia; Rodentia; Sciuridae. The record is from RNAcentral.
UCAGCCAAGCCUCCGGAGCAUAGAACUUGGGAGGAGAACAGAGCCACGCCUUCCUCCUGGGGGUGGGUGUUGCAGACACCUCAGCCCUCCUGUCAGCCUUUUUCUGGUCUGGACCUCUGCUUCCUCCUCCUGAAGGUUCUGGAGGCCAGCUGCUGGGGACCCCACCUGAAUCGGGCAGCAACCCAGAGUCCACAACCUACUCCACAGAUGAGCCCGGGGGGAUCUGUGCAGGACUAUGGAAAGAGGCUCAAGGCCAAUCUCAAGGUCAUACUACAGGUGAAAAGUGGAAGUGGGGUGCAAUACAUUGGAGCUGGGCCCAAAGGUGCCCUAGACCCAGAGGCAGGCCUUUGUGUCCACCUUUCCACACUAUAUGCAGGCACAGGCAGGGCCCCUGUGUUGGUCAGGGCUUGACUUCCAAGUGGUACUCAAAGAUAGCCUUUGCCCUCAGUCUUGUUCACAGUCAGGUUUGUGCAUCUUACCUUGCGCUGUCAUUUAGAGUGGGGUCUCUUUUAUCCUCCCUGUCCCAGGCUGAGCCAACACUGGGCAGCAGACUCCAGCCUCCACGAAGACCCUUGUCCAAGAUGCCCACCACAGGUCCACCCAGCCCAAGGACUGCCCCCACUUCUCCAGAAGAAGUCAGUGGUGGCACACUUCCCCAGCCAUCCGAGCCCAAGCGAAGUUCAGGCCGGCUCCAGCAGCUUCGGGCAUCUCUGAGUCUGCGGCUGGGCUCCCUAGACCCUGGCUGGCUUCAGCGGUGCCACAGUGGACCCUUAGAUUUUCUGAAGCCCCCCAGUGCCUACAGUCCUGGCCUGGGUAGAAAGGAGUCACAACACCUGAAGUCGGAAGAGUUUCUUGUCUUUGGUCCCAAUACUUGCUCUGAGGAAUUCUCACAAGGUCCAGAGACUCCAGCCCCACAGGCAGCCCAAAAUGGUAUGGGGAGCCCUCAGCCCAGCAACCCUCAAGGCAAGAAGCCAAAGUGGAGUGAGAAUGGAGGGAGUCCUGUGCAGUCCCAGCAGGACAUCAGCCAAACAGGACCCUUGUCUGAGGGGACAGGGGCUGUAGCACUUGAAGAAGACCUUCCAGGGCAACCUGUACAGGCCCAGCCAUCUCAGCCCUGUAGCAGUUCUUCAAGUCCAUCUAGGACAAAGAAGCGUAAGGGGAUGGCCCAUACGUUGUCCCGUAGACCAGCUGUCCAGGACAGAAGUAACUAUGUCCGGCUCAACAUGAAGCGCAAACGUUAUGUGUGGGGUGGGGCCCUUCGAGGUAGGCUCCUCCGCAGGCAGGUGAGAUGGGCAUAGCAGGACAAGGGUGGGCCUUCCCCAUACCUCUCCCAUCUCCCUUUUAUGUGAUUCUCUCUUGUGCGCCCUCCUCAGGCAUGGAAACAGAAGUGGCAGAAGAAAGGGGAGUGUUUCGGGGGUGGUGGGGCCAGACCCCCAGCCAAGGAUUCUUGUUUCCAGUCUGGGCCAUUUGGCCGCUGGGUUCCCCAGUGUUCCAAGCCAGGUGAGGGCCUCCACCCCGAUAAAUGGGAGGGGCCAGUGCUAAGCAGGGAGUACGGAGCCCCUUUGGUAGGCACUUCUACUCAAAUAACGCCCUGUCAUCUCCUCACCCUUGGCCCAGGCCCCACUCUGAACCUUCAGAAGGAGAUUGGCAAGAACAGGGACAACAUGCAGUCCUUUCCUACUUUGGAAGAAGCAGCCUGGAGAGCAGACACUGCUUGCUGCCACCUCCCCAGUAAGUCAGGGGAAGAGGGUGGUUAUACCCAGUGGCCCCUGUGCCAGGCUGUUUCAGUGCAGCCUGGAGCCCCCAAAAUACCUUCUCUCGUCUGCCCAGUUGGUGAGAACACAGGACUUACUGGGCCUGAGCUACAGGUGUGUCCCCCAUCCCAGCACCCCCCAGUGCUACCCCUCUACCCACCAGGGCCCUCAGGACAGGUAGCAGGUGAGCAGAAACUUACUGCACCAGAGCCUUUACCUCUGGGUGGGGAGACUUUGGAGGCCUUACUGACAAACACCUGUGUCCACAGAGACACCAGCUGAGGUGUUCCAGGCCCUGGAGCAACUAGGGUACCGAGCCUUCCGCCCAGGGCAGGAGCAUGCAGUCAUGCGGAUCCUGUCGGGUGAGUGUGGCCACUGGGGACUGGCUCUAGCCUUUGGACACAGCCUUGCAACUGCCUCUUGUCUGGC